RNAcentral lists this unclassified non-coding RNA (617 nucleotides) under Hevea brasiliensis (rubber tree). The record is from RNAcentral. Lineage: Eukaryota; Viridiplantae; Streptophyta; Magnoliopsida; Malpighiales; Euphorbiaceae.
GUCCUUCACAUAAAUUGGCUGCCACUGCCGAGCCUGCCUAACUACAAAAAAUUGAACGAGCCGUUCUUGGGCUUGGAGUACCAACUCUGGAAACCCCUUAACUUAAAUAAUCAAGAGGAGUUGCUCUUUUUGCAAACGUUUGGCAAUGCCUCCAUGACUUUCCCUUCCCAAACCCAGAACGGUUCCUCCCCUUUGUUCACUCCCGAAGAUGAAGAUGACAAGGCAUGGUUGCGCUAUUCCAUAAACAACUUUCUCAACUUACUGUGGCUUUCAUCCUUUCUGAUUCUUGUAUCGAAACCCUUGUUUUCUUUCAUUCUGGUUUGCUUUGUUCUCCACGGCCAUUGGACCAUUGUUGGACUCCAUUUCUUGAGGUUUCAAAACGGCGUUGUUGAACCAGUAUUCAAGAACUGUUGUUAUCGUCUUUUCGUUGUUUAGAUGAUGACGUUGAUGAUAAGGAUGAUUAAUUUGUUUGCCCAUUAAUUCGGCAAGGUCAAUGCCUCAAUUGUAAAUCCAUUUUUUGUGGUUAGUAUGGUGGGGGUGGUUGAAUCGGUGGGAGCGAUAGCGAGAGGAGGUAGCAAGGGAGAUGAGAGGAAGAAAAGAGGAAAAAGAGAGCGAAG